This 472-nucleotide ribosomal RNA is filed under the name uncultured Pelagibacteraceae bacterium. Its description in RNAcentral is "bacterial SSU rRNA". It matches the Rfam family "Bacterial small subunit ribosomal RNA", at positions 581 to 1050 of the family's 1533-position model. The record is from RNAcentral. Lineage: Bacteria; Pseudomonadati; Pseudomonadota; Alphaproteobacteria; Candidatus Pelagibacterales; Candidatus Pelagibacteraceae.
CAAAAAGUUAGAUGUGAAAUCCCUGGGCUCAACCCAGGAACUGCUAUUUAAAACUAGUGAUCUAGAAUUUGGUAGGGGCCAGUAGAAUUUCCAGUGUAGAGGUGAAAUUCGUAGAUAUUAGAAAGAAUACCAAUUGCGAAGGCAGCUUUCUGGAUCAUUACUGACGCUGAGGAACGAAAGCAUGGGUAGCGAAGAGGAUUAGAUACCCUCGUAGUCCAUGCCGUAAACGAUGUGUGUUAGACGUUGGAAAUUUAUUUUCAGUGUCGCAGCGAAAGCGAUAAACACACCGCCUGGGGAGUACGACCGCAAGGUUAAAACUCAAAUGAAUUGACGGGGACCCGCACAAGUAGUGGAGCAUGUGGUUUAAUUCGAAGAUACGCGCAGAACCUUACCAACACUUGACAUGUUCGUCGCGACUUUAAGAGAUUAAAGUUUUCGGUUCGGCCGGACGAAACACAGGUGCUGCAUGGCU